GCGGGCAUGGCGGAAAUGGUAGACGCGCGAGAUUUAGGUUCUCGUCUCAUGAGGUGCAGGUUCAAGUCCUGCUGCCCGUA
RNAcentral lists this transfer RNA (80 nucleotides) under Ostreobium quekettii. RNAcentral's name for it is "tRNA-Thr". It matches the Rfam family "tRNA". Rfam says of the family: Transfer RNA (tRNA) molecules are approximately 80 nucleotides in length. Their secondary structure includes four short double-helical elements and three loops (D, anti-codon, and T loops). Lineage: Eukaryota; Viridiplantae; Chlorophyta; Ulvophyceae; Bryopsidales; Ostreobiaceae. The record is from RNAcentral.